Molecule: small RNA, 78 nt
Filed under: Arsenophonus nasoniae (son-killer infecting Nasonia vitripennis)
Lineage: Bacteria; Pseudomonadati; Pseudomonadota; Gammaproteobacteria; Enterobacterales; Morganellaceae
Also listed under: 2 other names
Description: tpke11
Rfam family: tpke11
About the family: In Yersinia located in ICR upstream dnaJ (chaperone)gene. Has temperature responsive RNA structure.
Source: Rfam by way of RNAcentral
CUCUGUUACUGAAAACCGAGUACGGGCGUUGGGGGAACUCUACGCCCGUUUCCGUGUGUUAAGGGUAAAAUAAAUAUG